RNAcentral lists this long non-coding RNA (3413 nucleotides) under Equus caballus (horse). RNAcentral describes it as "lncRNA (ENSECAG00000053919.1)". The record is from RNAcentral. Lineage: Eukaryota; Metazoa; Chordata; Mammalia; Perissodactyla; Equidae.
UUUUUCUUUUUCUUUUUCUUUUUUUUUUUUUUAAGGAAGAUUAGCCCUGAGCUAACUGCUGCCAAUCCUCCUCUUUUUGCUGAGGACGACUGGCCCUGAGCUAACAUCCAUGCCCAUCUUCCUUUACUUUAUAUGUAGGACGCCUACCACAGCAUGGCGUGCCAAGCAGUGCCAUGUGCGCACCUAGGAUCCAAAUUGGCAAACUUUGGCCCACUGAGAAGUGACCUGCGAACUUAACCUCUGCACCACUGGGCCAGCCCCUCAUCCAUUGUGUUUUUCAUCACAACAAUUCUGAUUGGUUCUUCUUUAAAGUUUCAGUCUCUUUUGUGAAGAAGCUCCUGAAUUAGUUAAUUUGUCUUUCUGUGUUUUCUUGUAACUCACUGAGGUUUUUAUGAUAGCUAUUUUGAAUUCUUUGUCAUUUAGAUUAUGGAUUUCUGUGUCUUCAGGGUUGGCUUCUAGGUACUUCUCAUCUUCCCUCUGGUCUUGAGAUUUAAUACAUUUUCUCAUAUUGCUUAAUGGUGUGGAUUUUUGCCUCUGCAUGGCAUUAUUAUCUGGUCACUGCUGCAAUAUGCCUCCACUGGGUGAGGAUCAGGCACUGUGUAUUCUGGGUCCAGCAUGAUCUGGGGAUCCCAGCUCCAGCCACUAGCUGCUUUUCUCACUAUGCAAUGCUCUGGCAGAUGGCAGAUCUGGAGCACUGGUCAGGGGGAGGGGUGAUCUCCUUCCCCUACACUUCCCUCAGCCUCCACUUCUGACUCUGUGCAGAGUUCUGAGUGAUAGCAGGACUGGAAUCCCAGGCUGGGAAAGGAGCACUUUCUUAUACCUGCAUGCCUCCCCCAGCUGAUGCCUGUCUCUCUGCAUGGUGCUCUGGGCACUCACAAGGCUCCCCUUGCCACUGCUUCUCUCUUCAUGUGGUGCUCCCCAUGAUUGUGUGGCUGGAGCACAGGGCUGGAGCACUGGGCUGGACCAGAGCGCCUCUCCCCAGCUGAGUCACUCCUCUAACCAGCCCCUAUCUCACCAUGCCACUCUCCCAGCGAAUGUAGGGCUGGAGCACGGGGCUGGAGCAUGGGGUGGGAACAGAAUGUCCCUCCCCAGCUAAGCUGCUUAUCUAGCUGUGGGUCUUCUCUCUCCAUGGAGCUCCGAGCAGCUUCACCUUCUUCUGGAGGAUCCAGCCUCACCACCACCUUUGGAUGUAUGACUGCGUGGAUCUCCCAGACAUCUCCUGUGUUGUGUGUGUGUCCUCUGUUGGUGUUUGAAUGUCCCUCUAGUCGUAUUUUAGAAGAGAGAAUCUGAGGGAAGAGCUCACUCUUCUAUAAUGCUGACAUCAGUCUAGCUGCCAAUAUUUUUGUCCCAGAUUUUUGUUUGAUAAAAAUAAAAAUUUAGGUGAAUUAUAUUUAAUGUGAGAUGCAGAAUAAAAAUGUUUAGAACCUUUAGAUAUUCUCCUUGUCUUUGAUUUCCAAAAUCUUUAGUUUAGCCAAAAACUGUGCACAUAAAAAAAACAUGAAGGAUGUAGUUUAUGAGUCUCAACUAUUCUCACAUCAAUACAGAACAAAUAACCAAACUAUGGUAGAACUGCACUGCCACACUCCUUCAGACAUGCUACAUCCAAAGUGAUCUUAUGUCAAUUAGAUGGGUGAUUAAGUUGAUCAGGAUGAGCAAUUCACUCUUCCCUUGUACUAUGUGCAGCUGGAAAAUAAUCAUUGAACUCUUUUUACAGGUGCUGAGAUACAAGAUAAAUAACCCUAGGACUUAAAGAUGUUGAUGAGUUAGCAAAGAAUGUCAGCUUAUACAAGGUUAUUUCUAAAUAUUUGUCAUAGGAGAGACAAGCCUAUUGUGGUUUUCUUUAAUGAGUGUAAAGAUGGAGGUUUCUGAGGGAAAAAAAUUAUAUGGGACCAGGGAUAUCAUGGAAAAAAAUGUCCUGGAGCAAGUAGCAUUUUAACUCUAUCUUGAAGAGUAAGAUUUGAUCAAUAGGGAGGAGCAGUGUGGUAAUCUGAGAGGGAAUGUAAAGGAUAAUUCUAUAAGCCAAAGAAUGAGACAGAGAUGAACCUGGUGUCUUAGUCUAGUUUCACCAGAAAUCAGAGCCUGAGACUGAAGGCUCAUGUGCUAUUAUUUUAUUUAGGGAAUACUACCCUAGGAAACAGGAGUAUGGGAUUAAGAGGAAAAAAGCAGGGAAGAGGGAAGAACCAAGAUGAGGAUACAGUUGUAAAUUGCUGCUGCUAAAUACAACCAAUUGUUCCAACCUGAGGAACACAUCCCCAGGCCCAAAUUCAUUUCAGGACCACAUGUCAAUGGGUGGGGCAAGGAGGAAAACGUAGAAAAAUUUUCGUAAUGGCUUUUAAUCCCCAUUGGUUGAAAGUCUCUCCAUGUGACAUUAACUCCUCCACACUGCCAGGCUGAACAUGUGUGCGUGUGGACACCCAACAGGCUCCCAUUGUAGCAUCAAUAAUAAAGCCCCAGGGCGAAUAUCUUUGAUAUAAAGUUUAAUUUUAAGAAGCUUACUCUAGUGAAAUGAGCAAGUGAAUUAGAGAUGGGGCUUGGAGAAGAGGACUAGGAACAGAAAUGUAUGUUAUCAUGCCUUCGUAAUUCAUUCAGCAGGGAUGGUACAUGAACCAGGACUAUGGCUGCCACAAUAAGAUUGAUAAAGGUACUGGGCCAGGAGUUUGGUCCAUAUUCUACCCCUGACUCACUUUCUGACCUCAGACACAUGAAAUUACUUCUCUGGGCCUCAACUCUCUUGCCUAUACAAUGAGAUCAUCGAACAGCUCUGCUUGCCUCAUGAAGUUAUGAGACUCAAAAGACAAGGUAUUGAAAAGCCUUUGUGAAAUGUGAGAGGUCAUUAUUAUCACCAGAAGGCAUAAACAAGGGGAGUAGUAGCAUUUUUUACUAUUACUUCAUCUAGAUUUAUAGAGAUUGAAAGUCAAACACCAGGAAGAAUCCUUAGGUCCAUAUUCUCAGCGUCAUGUAAACAUAGUCUGCUUACUAAAACAAACUGAAUCCAGUUGCAGCAGUUACCUAGAUGAUUAGAAACUCCAGCAAUUGAAGCAACCCACAAUGAAACAAAAAAAAUCCAAAAAUUGUGUUGAAGGAACAAUAUUGUUCUCAACUGAGCUCUCCAGAUUGCUUACAAUAAACAAAUUUCCUAAAUUUAGAAUCUUAGAAGUUCUCAAUCACAAUUUGCUUUGUAAGUACCAAACUGUCUCAAUCUGUAACUGCAGAAAUUUCAUAACUAUUGCUUUGUAUACACUAGCAAAACUAAAUUUUUUUAAAAUGUGAUAAUUAUUUAGAUAAAAUUCUUAAAAGCCCAUUAGACUCAUUCAUGUUAAUUUUAGGCAAAAAUAUGGUCAUUUACCUAGAUUAUCAAGAUAAUUACUCCAAUGUGCACUUAACAAGGAAGCAUAGUUCUCCCUAUAUUUACU